Molecule: ribosomal RNA, 301 nt
Filed under: uncultured bacterium
Lineage: Bacteria
Description: partial 16S ribosomal RNA
Rfam family: Bacterial small subunit ribosomal RNA
Source: RNAcentral
CAGUAGCCACGGGAAUACGAGGGGGGCAAGCGUUGUUCGGAAUUAUUGGGCGUAAAGCGUACGUAGGCGGCUUUGUAGGUUAGAGGUGAAAGCCCGGAGCUCAACUCCGGAAUUGCCUUUAAGACUGCAUCACUUGAACGUCGGAGAGGUGAGUGGAAUUCCGAGUGUAGAGGUGAAAUUCGUAGAUAUUCGGAAGAACACCAGUGGCGAAGGCGGCUCACUGGACGACUGUUGACGCUGAGGUACGAAAGCGUGGGGAGCAAACAGGAUUAGAUACCCCCGUAGUCCCUGUCUCUAUACA